Molecule: ribosomal RNA, 328 nt
Filed under: uncultured eukaryote
Lineage: Eukaryota
Description: partial 18S ribosomal RNA
Rfam family: Eukaryotic small subunit ribosomal RNA
Source: RNAcentral
CCCUUAGACGUUCUGGGCCGCACGCGCGCUACACUGACGGAGCCAGCGAGUAUAAACCUUGGCCGAGAGGUCUGGGAAAUCUUGUGAAACUCCGUCGUGCCGGGGAUAGAGCAUUGUAAUUAUUGCUCUUCAACGAGGAAUUCCUAGUAAGCGCAAGUCAUCAGCUUGCGUUGAUUACGUCCCUGCCCUUUGUACACACCGCCCGUCGCUACUACCGAUUGAAUGGCUUAGUGAGGCUUCCGGAUUGGUUUAGAGAAGGGGGCAACUCCAUCUUGGAACCGAGAAGCUAGUCAAACUUGGUCAUUUAGAGGAAGUAAAAGUCGUAACA